AUGGUUUUUAACAUGCUGGAAAGUCUUCAAAUGUUUUGGUUGAAGGAGGCGCUCGGUGGCGAUGCACACUACUUUGAAACUGAAGUUGCUAUUUUCAGUUUUGGGCUUUACACUGAAGUUUGCUUUCCCAGGUCUUUUCUCUCUGUUUUUCUGUCUGCACCAUCUUUCCCUCUCUCUCGCUCUCUGUCUGUCUCUCUCUGUCUCUCGCUCUGUCUCUCUCGCUCUCUCUCUCGCUCUGUCUCUCGCUCUCUGUCUCUCUCGCUCUCUGUCUCUCGCUCUCUGUCUCUCGCUCUCUGUCUCUCGCUCUCUGUCUCUCUGUCUCUCUGUCUCUCUCUCUCUCUGUCUCUCGCUCUCUGUCUCUCGCUCUCUGUCUCUCGCUCUCUGUCUCUCUCGCUCUGUCUCUCGCUCUCUGUCUCUCGCUCUCUCUCUCUCUCUGUCUCUCGCUCUCUGUCUCUCGCUCUCUCUCUCUCUCUGUCUCUCGCUCUCUCUCGCUCUCUGUCUCUCGCUCUCUGUCUCUCGCUCUGUCUCUCGCUCUGUCUCUCGCUCUGUCUCUCUCUCUCUCUGUCUCUCGCUCUCUCUCUCUCGCUCUCUGUCUCUCGCUCUCUGUCUCUCUCUCGCUCUCUCUCUCGCUCUGUCUCUCGCUCUCUCUCUCGCUCUGUCUCUCGCUCUCUGUCUCUCGCUCUCUGUCUCUCGCUCUGUCUCUCGCUCUCUCUCUCUCGCUCUGUCUCUCGCUCUCUCUCUCUCUGUCUCUCGCUCUCUGUCUCUCGCUCUCUGUCUCUCGCUCUCUGUCUCUCGCUCUGUCUCUCGCUCUCUGUCUCUCGCUCUCUCUCUCUCUGUCUCUCGCUCUCUGUCUCUCGCUCUCUCUCUCGCUCUGUCUCUCGCUCUCUGUCUCUCUCUGUGCUUCUCUCACACACACUCCAGCCUUCAGCACGUAUUCAAGGUGCUUUUUGUUAUUACAGUGAAUCCAGUCGAUGUAUUUACUGGCUGCAUCUAAAAUCACUCCCUAUAUAA
Molecule: long non-coding RNA, 1011 nt
Filed under: Cottoperca gobio
Lineage: Eukaryota; Metazoa; Chordata; Actinopteri; Perciformes; Bovichtidae
Description: lncRNA (ENSCGOG00000022029.1)
Source: RNAcentral